This 468-nucleotide ribosomal RNA is filed under the name uncultured bacterium. RNAcentral's name for it is "partial 16S ribosomal RNA". It matches the Rfam family "Bacterial small subunit ribosomal RNA", at positions 28 to 507 of the family's 1533-position model. The record is from RNAcentral.
GACGAACGCUGGCGGCGUGCCUAACACAUGCAAGUCGAACGGAAAGGCCCUGCGCUUGUGGGUUGCUCGAUUGGCGCGCGGGUGAGAAUCACGUGAGUAAAAUGUACCUGUCUUUGGGAUAAAUCCUGGAAACUGGGGCGCUUAUAGGAUAGGAGCUAUUGCUCCGUGGUGUGGAUUGGUAAGUUUCGGCGGUUGGGGAUGGACUAGCGGCUUCUCAGCUGGUUGGUGGGGUAGUGGCUUACCAAGGCUUUGACGGGUAGCCGGCCUGGGAGGGUUGCCGGCCACAUUGGGACUGAGAGACGGACCAGACGCCUACGGGAGGCAGUAGUGGGGAAUAUUGCACAAUGGGCGGAAGCCUGAUGCGGCAACGCCGCGUGCGUGAUGACGGCUUUCGGGUUGUAAACCGCUUUCGCAUGUGACGAAGCGUGAGUGACGGUAAUGGGUAAAGAAGCACCGGCUAACUACGUG